Columba livia (rock pigeon) is the source of this 3099-nucleotide RNA transcript. It is a transcript of the gene named ninein-like protein, with no coding region annotated. The transcript is spliced from 18 exons. NCBI's taxonomy places the organism in Eukaryota, Metazoa, Chordata, Aves, Columbiformes, Columbidae. The record is from RefSeq and is a predicted model, not a curated record.
UCAGAGGAGCGUGCACAGGGAAGCAGUUGAUCCUUCUGCCUGAGCUAUGUGGGCCCACAUCUAUUCUCCAGCAUUGAAUGGCACUAGAUUUGCCAAACUUGUCAUUGCCGUAUGAGCCCUGGGAGAACUUUGAGUAGAUCCUCAAGGUCUCUGGUACUGCCUUGUGUAGUGAGGCUGAGUGGCAGCACAGAGGAGCAGGUGAACCUGGCAGAGCUGCCUGCAGCUUUGGACAACACAGUCAUGGUUCCCAGGAGUGGGCUUCAGCAUGCAGCCAUCACCUCCUACAGUCACAAACUGCAGUGCCUCAGGAUCCAGGUCAGGCAGAUUGCCAGGGAGAGGGACAAGGCAAGGCUGGACUUGGAGAAAGUGGAGAGACACUGCCUAGAGCUUGACAGGGAGUUGGAUGAGCUCUACGUCGCUCUCGAGCACACCCAGAGCAAGCUCAAUCUCCCUUUAAGAAUCUCCCACGUGAUUUGCCAUUGUGUCAGUGGCAGAGAAGUCCCUGAAGAUCCCACCUGCCCCUCUCCCCAGCCUCUCCCCACAGUCCCAGCAUCCCUCCAACUAAGCUUUCAUCUCCUGCUUUGUGCCUGGGAUGCUCAGGCAGAAACAGAGGCAAAAGAGCUGCUUUUGCAGCAAGCAAUCAAACACCAAGCAACACUGGAGGCCAGUACGCAGUUUCUUCAGGGCAAAGAGGACUUCCUGCAAGGGGGACUGAACCACACAGUGAGGGAGAACACAGAGCUGAAAAACAAGGUUGCGGACAUGGCUGAGAAACUGGCGGCCUCUGAGAAGCUGGUUUUGCAGCUGCAGAAGGAUCUCAACUGCAUUGUGAAGGACAAGCUGCGUCAGGUGGAGCCCCACAGCCCAGAGCUCCCGAACCAGAGUGAGCUCUUUGCCGAGAUUGUCCUGGAGUACGAGCGGCAGUGCCAGGUGCUGUGGAACCAGAACAGAGUGCUGCAAAGGGAGCUGGAAGGGCUGCGUCUCCAGCUACAAGAGAGCAGGGCUGUGCGAGGGCUGCCAGCAGGAGGCCUGUCCUCAGAGGGCUCCUCUCUGCCAGUGUGCCGCUCUCCCUGCCCUCUGGUUCCCACUUCUGUGUGCACAGAGAUGUCACUCCCAAUGGAGCAGCUCCAAGAGCAGCUCUGUGACCUGAAGGUGCAGCUGGAAACCAAGAUAAACUAUUAUGAGGAAGAAAUCGAGUUAAUGAGGAAAAACUUUGAGAGAGAGAGUAAGGACAGCGAGGAAAGCUUCAAGGCUGAGACACGCAAGAUGGAAGACCAGAAGAGAGACCUGGAAGAAACAGUUGCCAAGGGAGAGCUGUGCCAGCUGCUGGAGGAGAACAGCUUGCUGAAAAGUCAACUUGGGAGACUCCAGCGAGAGCUGAGGCAGGCAAAGGAGAAGGGCAGCAAACACGAUGAGAAACAUGUGAGCGAGUUCAGCGGAGAGAAGGUGGGGGAGCUGGCUGAAAUAGGAGAAUUAACAGCAUCGAGUGAGAAGAGCAAGGGCGAGAUCUCCCACCUGGAUGUCAAGCUGAGCCGUGAACUGGCUGAACACAAGGCUGGCCACUGCACUGGCCCUGGCACUGUCUGGCUGCGGAGCCAAAGGCUUGCAGAGGCUGAGCAGCUACGAGGAACAGAGAUUGCCGCAAGGCUGGAGCACCACCAGCAGCAUGCAGCAUGUUGGAUGGAGAUGGAGAUGCUCCAACAGCAGCUCAAGGCCUCGCAGAAGAAGCUCUUAGAAGCCAAAGCAAGCCUGAGCAGGACCCAGGCUCUGCAUGCUCUGCAGUUGCAGGAGGCCAAGGCCCAGAUGAACAACAUGGUGCCAAAGAAACAGUUUGAGCAGCUGCAGACAAGCUUGAGAGAGGAACAGUGCAAGGCCCAGAAGCUCCAGGAAAACCUCCACCAGCAGGCUGAGCAGAUGUGCAGGCAGCUGGCAAGGACUCAGGAGGAACAUGAGCAUCUGCUGCAGGCGGCUGUGGAGCAGGCAGAGGGGCUGGAGCAGAAUCUGAGUAGUGCUGAAGCUGCGCUAGUAGAGAAAGCGACUCAGCUCAAAGAUGCCCAGGCCCAACUCUCCAGGAAUAAACUGCUCAUCAAAGACCUCUGUGAGGAGAAGAGGGGGUUUGCAAUGGCGCUGCAGGCAGCUGAGCUGAAGCAGAAGAGCACUGAGGAGAAGAACCAGGUGUUAGAGGAACAAGCUGCAGCUCUGAAGCAGCUCAUCAGAAAAAUCACACCAGCAUCCCUGAGUGGGUGAUGGGGCACCCACUGUGGCAACCCUGUCCUUUUCUGGGGUUUGUCAGGUGCGGAAGGGAAGUUCCUUCUGGGCUCUAGGAGACUUUGGCUCUCCUAAAGCCUGAGCCUAGGAUCCAAACCAACCUGUUGCCAGAUUGUUGCACCUGCGAUGAGCAGGAUGGGCUGAGGGAAGAGCCUCCAAGGCCUUGGGGCAGCACUGGUGAUCCCUAUUCAGCACUGCACUUCUUCAAAGGAGAUCAGGACGCAUGGACAGUGGUACCAUCAUCGAUCUCAAAUUCUCCAUAGUCUCUUAAACACCGCACCUACAAUGAAAAAUGCAGCUUUCAGAUCAUCAGAUCUCCCAUAGAAAACUAGAUAUCACUGCUGACUUACAACAUGUGCCCUACAACUCUAAGUAUGGACACAUUCCUACCCGCCUGCAGGAGCCUUAAUAUAGAGCAGACCUGGAAAUGCAGAACCGCACUGAUCCCACAGUCUGUGGACUCUCCCUGACGUUCUCUUCCUGCCUCUGUCUGGAGCAAGAAGCACCAGUGAGCAGAUCAGCCCAGUCCUCCACAGAGACUAGAGGAAGAGCAGCACGAGAGACAGGGCCUGGGGAACAGCAGCAGCACUUCCAGGAGAACCUCCACCCCCACAUACCAGAAAAUGACAAUCUGUUAACACUCUAACUGUGUUAACGAGCAGGCUGAUUGCCAUUAUGUGUUCUUUUAAAGAGAACAUCAGAACAGAGCACUUUGGCUACAGGCUCUGAUUUCUCUUGCUUUGUUGUAUCAAUUGUAUAAAAUGAUUUAUAGUCUCAACUAUCAGAAUCCAUUUAAAAUAACAACAAAGAAAACUAGUUAACAAUCCUUAA